Molecule: transfer RNA, 84 nt
Filed under: Felis catus (domestic cat)
Lineage: Eukaryota; Metazoa; Chordata; Mammalia; Carnivora; Felidae
Rfam family: tRNA
About the family: Transfer RNA (tRNA) molecules are approximately 80 nucleotides in length.
Source: Rfam by way of RNAcentral
GCCUGGGUGGCUCAGUCGUUGAGUGUCUGACUUCGACUCAGGUCAUGAUCUCACAGUUCGUGAGUUUGAGCCCCAUGUCAGGCU